This 253-nucleotide ribosomal RNA is filed under the name uncultured bacterium. RNAcentral's name for it is "partial 16S ribosomal RNA". It matches the Rfam family "Bacterial small subunit ribosomal RNA", at positions 524 to 776 of the family's 1533-position model. The record is from RNAcentral.
UACGAAGGGGGCUAGCGUUGCUCGGAAUUACUGGGCGUAAAGGGCGCGUAGGCGGGUCGUUUAGUUAGAGGUGAAAGCCCAGGGCUCAACCCUGGAAUUGCCUUUAAUACUGGCGGCCUUGAGUAUGGCAGAGGUGUGUGGAACUCCGAGUGUAGAGGUGAAAUUCGUAGAUAUUCGGAAGAACACCAGUGGCGAAGGCGACACACUGGGCCAUUACUGACGCUGAUGCGCGACAGCGUGGGGAGCAAACAGG